CCUACGGGGGGCUGCAGUGGGGAAUAUUGGACAAUGGGGGGAACCCUGAUCCAGCCAUGCCGCGUGUGUGAAGAAGGCCCUCGGGUUGUAAAGCACUUUCAGUGAGGAAGAACGCCUGGUGGUUAAUACCCAUCAGGAAAGACAUCACUCACAGAAGAAGCACCGGCUAACUCCGUGCCAGCAGCCGCGGUAAUACGGAGGGUGCGAGCGUUAAUCGGAAUUACUGGGCGUAAAGCGCGCGUAGGUGGCUUGAUAAGCCGGUUGUGAAAGCCCCGGGCUCAACCUGGGAACCGCAUCCGGAACUGUCAAGCUAGAGUGCAGGAGAGGAAGGUAGAAUUCCCGGUGUAGCGGUGAAAUGCGUAGAGAUCGGGAGGAAUACCAGUGGCGAAGGCGGCCUUCUGGACUGACACUGACACUGAGGUGCGAAAGCGUGGGUAGCAAACAGGAUUAGAUACCCCAGUAGUC
This 465-nucleotide ribosomal RNA is filed under the name Vreelandella stevensii. RNAcentral describes it as "partial 16S ribosomal RNA". It matches the Rfam family "Bacterial small subunit ribosomal RNA", at positions 338 to 795 of the family's 1533-position model. Lineage: Bacteria; Pseudomonadati; Pseudomonadota; Gammaproteobacteria; Oceanospirillales; Halomonadaceae. The record is from RNAcentral.